Molecule: ribosomal RNA, 407 nt
Filed under: bacterium enrichment culture clone ALO1_GLFRUDD03F99NR
Lineage: Bacteria
Also listed under: 16 other names
Description: bacterial SSU rRNA
Rfam family: Bacterial small subunit ribosomal RNA
Source: RNAcentral
GAGUUUGAUCCUGGCUCAGAUUGAACGCUGGCGGCAUGCCUUACACAUGCAAGUCGAACGGCAGCACGGGAGCUUGCUCCUGGUGGCGAGUGGCGAACGGGUGAGUAAUGCAUCGGAACGUAUCCUGGAGUGGGGGAUAACGUAGCGAAAGUUACGCUAAUACCGCAUAUUCUGUGAGCAGGAAAGCGGGGGACCUUCGGGCCUCGCGCUCUUGGAGCGGCCGAUGUCGGAUUAGCUAGUUGGUGAGGUAAAGGCUCACCAAGGCGACGAUCCGUAGCAGGUCUGAGAGGAUGAUCUGCCACACUGGAACUGAGACACGGUCCAGACUCCUACGGGAGGCAGCAGUGGGAAUUUUGGACAAUGGGGGCAACCCUGAUCCAGCCAUGCCGCGUGAGUGAAGAAGGCCU